RNAcentral lists this transfer RNA (92 nucleotides) under Vibrio sp. Its description in RNAcentral is "tRNA-Ser". It matches the Rfam family "tRNA". From Rfam's summary of the family: Transfer RNA (tRNA) molecules are approximately 80 nucleotides in length. Lineage: Bacteria; Pseudomonadati; Pseudomonadota; Gammaproteobacteria; Vibrionales; Vibrionaceae. RNAcentral also lists the same sequence under 5 other names. The record is from RNAcentral.
GGAGAGGUGCCAGAGUGGUCGAUUGGGGCCGCCUGCUAAGCGGUUGUAGGGGCUAUAAACCUCUACCGCGGGUUCGAAUCCCGCCCUCUCCG